CCUACGGGUGGCUGCAGUGAGGAAUAUUGGUCAAUGGGCGCAAGCCUGAACCAGCCAAGUCGCGUGAGGGAAGACGGCCCUACGGGUUGUAAACCUCUUUUGCCGGGGAGCAAGCCUGAGCACGUGUGCCCAGGCGGAGAGUACCCGGAGAAAAAGCAUCGGCUAACUCCGUGCCAGCAGCCGCGGUAAUACGGAGGAUGCGAGCGUUAUCCGGAUUUAUUGGGUUUAAAGGGUGCGCAGGCGGGCUGUUAAGCCGGCGGUAAAAAUUCAGGGCUCAACCCUGUCGAGCCGUCGGAACUGGCAGUCUUGAGUGGGCGAGAAGUAUGCGGAAUGUAUGGUGUAGCGGUGAAAUGCUUAGAGAUCAUACAGAACACCGAUUGCGAAGGCAGCUUACCAAUCUAUAUCUGACGUUGAGGCACGAAAGCGUGGGGAGCAAACAGGAUUAGAUACCCGAGUAGUC
RNAcentral lists this ribosomal RNA (460 nucleotides) under uncultured bacterium. RNAcentral's name for it is "partial 16S ribosomal RNA". It matches the Rfam family "Bacterial small subunit ribosomal RNA", at positions 338 to 795 of the family's 1533-position model. The record is from RNAcentral.